AUUUAUUUCUCAAAAUCUGAGACAUUUCUCGAAAGAAGACGUACAGAUGGCAAACAGGCAAAUGAAAAGGUGCUCAGCAUCAUUGAUCAUCAGAGAAAUGCAAAUCAGAACUGCAGUAAGAUGUCAUCUCACCCUAGUUCAAAUGGUUUC
Molecule: long non-coding RNA, 150 nt
Organism: Cebus imitator (Panamanian white-faced capuchin)
Lineage: Eukaryota; Metazoa; Chordata; Mammalia; Primates; Cebidae
Exons: 4
Source: RefSeq, a predicted model, not a curated record